This 78-nucleotide ribosomal RNA is filed under the name Petromyzon marinus (sea lamprey). The record is from RNAcentral. Lineage: Eukaryota; Metazoa; Chordata; Hyperoartia; Petromyzontiformes; Petromyzontidae.
ACCUAUGGACAAAUCACGAGGCAUGCACCUGAUCUCGUCAGAUCUCAGAAGUUCAGCAGAGUUGAUCCUGCAUAGUGC